UACGGGGGGAGCAAGCGUUGUUCGGAAUCACUGGGCGUAAAGCGUGCGCAGGCGGCUAUGCAAGACAGAUGUGAAAUCCCCGGGCUCAACCUGGGAACUGCAUUUGUGACUGCAUGGCUAGAGUACGGCAGAGGGGGAUGGAAUUCCGCGUGUAGCAGUGAAAUGCGUAGAUAUUCGGAAGAACACCAGUGGCGAAGGCGACUCGCUGGACAAGUAUUGACGCUGAGGUGCGAAAGCGUGGGGAGCAAACAGG
RNAcentral lists this ribosomal RNA (253 nucleotides) under uncultured bacterium. RNAcentral describes it as "partial 16S ribosomal RNA". It matches the Rfam family "Bacterial small subunit ribosomal RNA", at positions 524 to 776 of the family's 1533-position model. The record is from RNAcentral.